Gossypium raimondii (Peruvian cotton) is the source of this 2885-nucleotide RNA transcript. It is a transcript of the gene named calmodulin-binding protein 60 C, with no coding region annotated. The transcript has 9 exons. The record is from RefSeq and is a predicted model, not a curated record. Lineage: Eukaryota; Viridiplantae; Streptophyta; Magnoliopsida; Malvales; Malvaceae.
AUCUGGUACUUAGAGAAUGCAAAGGCAAACGCGGUAUAUGACGAGGACUAAUAGUAUGGUUAGAGGGAAACGGAGUUUGGAAGGAGAUGAAGACCAGCAGCCGGAGCCAAAACGUCCUGCUCUAGCUAGUGUGAUUGUUGAAGCUCUUAAGGUGGACAGCUUGCAGAAACUUUGUUCAUCUUUGGAACCCAUUCUUCGUAGAGUUGUAAGUGAAGAGGUGGAAAGAGCUUUGGCAAAAUUAGCCCCCCCUAGGCUUAAUGGAAGGUCUUCUCCAAAAUGUCUUGAAGGUCCAGGCGGAGGGAGCUUACAGCUCCGCUUCAGGUCCAGGUUGUCUCUCCCUCUUUACACAGGAGGAAAGGUAGAAGGGGAGCAGGGUGCUGCUAUCCAUAUUGUUCUAGUUGACUCCAACACUGCGCAUGUUGUAACAACCGGACCUGAAGCCUCUAUGAAGCUAGAUGUUGUGGUGCUUGAAGGUGAUUUUAGCAAUGAGGAUGAUGAAGAUUGGACACAGGAGGAAUUUGAUAGCCAUUUGGUAAAAGAGCGUCCAGGAAAAAGACCACUGCUGACGGGUGACUUGCAAGUGACCCUGAAAGAGGGGGUUGGAACACUAGGAGACCUUACUUUUACUGACAAUUCAAGUUGGAUAAGAAGCAGGAAAUUCAGGCUUGGCUUGAAGGUUGCUUCUGGAUACUGUGAGGGUAUACGUGUUCGGGAAGCUAAGACAGAGGCUUUUACUGUCAAGGAUCACAGAGGGGAAUUGUAUAAGAAGCACUACCCACCUGCACUGAAUGAUGAAGUAUGGAGAUUGGAAAAGAUUGGGAAAGAUGGGUCAUUUCACAAGAGGCUUAGUGCUGAAGGAAUAUUCACUGUUGAAGACUUUUUGCGGCUUGUUGUCAGGGAUCAACAAAAGCUACGAAAUAUUCUGGGAAGUGGCAUGUCAAAUAAGAUGUGGGAAGCUCUAUUAGAUCAUGCAAAGACUUGUGUGCUGAGUGGGAAGCUUUAUGUUUACUAUACUGAUGAUUCAAGGAACAGUGGUGUUGUUUUCAAUAAUAUCUAUGAGUUGAAUGGCCUUAUUUCCGGGGAACAGUAUUUUCCUGCUGAUUCUCUAUCUGAUAGUCAGAAGGUUUAUGUAGAUUCACUGGUAAAGAAAGCCUAUGACAAUUGGAAUCAAGUCAUAGAGUAUGAUGGCAAGUCACUGUUGAACUUCAAGCAAAAUAGGUGGUCAAGUGCCCGGAAUGAACUUCAGAUAGAUGAACUAGAUUACACAAGUUCUGUAGAUAAUCAGAUGCAGUUACCACGGGUGCCAGUUCCAAUUCCUACUGAGCAAGUUCACUCUGGCCUACAAGUUGGAGGGUAUAAUGAUAAUCAGUCGGCCGGAUAUUCAGGGCAGUCCCAGAUUAUGAAUCCAAAUUCUCAUAAUCAAUUUGGCAACACACAAUUUGUGCCACAAGACCAGCUAAUUGACAAUUCUCAGCAACCACAAAGCUCAAAAAACGAUACCAAUGUUGUUGGGCUGGCUCUUGGUCCUCCACAAUCAUCUAUCAUAGGGUUCCAAAAUAUUGGUUCUUCAAUGCAGCCAUCAAAUCUUAAUCCUUUCAACGAUUGGACAAACAACCACGAUAAGGGAGUUGAGGACUUUUUAUCAGAGGAAGAGAUUCGCGUAAGAAGUAAUGAAAUGCUCGAGAAUGAAGAAAUGCAGCACCUUCUCCGGCUUUUCAAUAUGGGAGGUAAUGCUUCCAUUAAUAUGACAGAAGACAGUGGGUACGGGUUCCCAAAUUACAUACCAUCCCCAAUGCCAAACUUUGUAGACGAAGACCGUUCACGUUCUGGCAAAGCUGUUGUAGGGUGGUUGAAGAUUAAGGCCGCAAUGAGAUGGGGAUUCUUUAUCCGAAAGAAAGCUGCUGAGAGACGGGCACAGAUAGUUGAGCUAGAAGAAGAAGAAGAAGAAUAGAUAUGAAGUCUAUUUUUCAUUUUUAAGUGGAAAGGCUCUCAUUUCCGACUGGUUUUGGAAGUUACUAGAACUCCUUGAAUGCUAGAGAAAAACUAGCGACACCAUGGGGAAUCUCUUCUUGUACAGUUUCCUGUACAUCGUUUCAGGUAUUUGUUGUACAAAAAGGCUGUAAGCUAUGUGGCCAUGGAGAUAUUUUCCACAAUCCAAAGAAAAAUCCACCCCACCUCAUCAUUCGGAGCAGGUUAGUAUCCAUCGAGCAGUUCAGGUUUUGCCAUAUUUAGAAAGGCAUAUAUUUAAUCUAUUGCUUUCCCUAGUGGGGUGGAAUCUUGGAUCCAGUUGCUCCAUUCCUUUCCAUGGCACUUGCAGUGUCAAGUGGUUUCAAAUCAGUUUGGAAUCCAUCGGGUUAGUUCGGGUUUUACCAUCUUUAGAAAAGCAUGCAUUAGGCCAUUGCUUCACCCAAUGGAUGGAAUCUUGGAUCCAGUUGCUUCAUUCCUUUCUAUGGCACUUGCAGUGUCAAGUGGUUUCGAAGCUUAUUUUAGCUCAUAUGGCUCAAUAUUUAAAAGAAUUUGAAUAAAAAUAUUAAGCUUAAAAAAAAAAAAACUUUAAUAAUUGAUACACAAAAUCAAAUGGUCCCAUUCCAAGUUCAUAUUCCUGUACAAUUAUCAUGCAACUGAUGUAUGCUUUAAUCUUAGUGACUGACAGACAUAAAACAAAAGCAUUUUUACGUAAAUCCAAUCAUUUGAUUCAACUUUCUUCCGAGUCUAACCAGAAAUAAAAAUUGAUGUAACACUUUUUUUUUUAAUAAUUUUAUUAUAUAUUUUUGAUUAUAUCUGUAUUUCUGCGCAAUCAAACGAGCUACACUUUUAAAUCAUGUUAUAAUAUUGUAUUUUCAUCAAAUAAGGAGCAACUACUAUAAGUUAAGAUUUGUCACUUA